Non-coding RNA from Caenorhabditis elegans, 224 nucleotides. Lineage: Eukaryota; Metazoa; Nematoda; Chromadorea; Rhabditida; Rhabditidae. The record is from Ensembl.
GAUGAGCUCGCACACGUAGUACUCCGGUCGUCGAAAAAAAGUGUGUCUGGAGGAGAGAUUGUGCACACUCAUUUGCAAACAUGCACAAAUACACACACAAAACAGGACAGGUCAGUUUGGCGUGGGAGCAGGAGCAAUAGCCGACGCGGAAACAAGACAUACGCAGUACUUUGAAGUGAUUUUAACAUUGAAAUCAUAAUGUCUAAAGUUGAGGUUGAUGUGUC